GGAAACUGCCUGAUGGAGGGGGAUAACUACUGGAAACGGUGGCUAAUACCGCAUAACGUCGCAAGACCAAAGAGGGGGACCUUCGGGCCUCUUGCCAUCAGAUGUGCCCAGAUGGGAUUAGCUUGUUGGUGAGGUAACGGCUCACCAAGGCGACGAUCCCUAGCUGGUCUGAGAGGAUGACCAGCCACACUGGAACUGAGACACGGUCCAGACUCCUACGGGAGGCAGCAGUGGGGAAUAUUGCACAAUGGGCGCAAGCCUGAUGCAGCCAUGCCGCGUGUAUGAAGAAGGCCUUCGGGUUGUAAAGUACUUUCAGCGGGGAGGAAGGUGUUGUGGUUAAU
This 341-nucleotide ribosomal RNA is filed under the name Salmonella enterica subsp. enterica serovar Kentucky. RNAcentral's name for it is "bacterial SSU rRNA". It matches the Rfam family "Bacterial small subunit ribosomal RNA", at positions 121 to 464 of the family's 1533-position model. The record is from RNAcentral. Lineage: Bacteria; Pseudomonadati; Pseudomonadota; Gammaproteobacteria; Enterobacterales; Enterobacteriaceae.